AUUUAGAGGAAGGAGAAGUCGUAACAAGGUUUCCGUAGGUGAACCUGCGGAAGGAUCAUUGUCGAAUACCGAAAAUCGGAACCAACGCGAACUUGUAACCCUAACGCACCGCUCUCGGGCGGGGCAACCCCCUGCGGAUGGACGGCCCUCGGGUCGGACUCCCGCAGGAACAAAACCCCGGCGCAGUGGGCGCCAAGGAACACUCGAUCAAAGCGUCGAACCUCCGCGUCCGUCCCCUUAAAAAGGUACGAACGAGGGGGUGCUUCGCGGACCAGCAUAGAAGUAUGUACAAUUGUACGACUCUCGGCAACGGAUAUCUAGGCUCUCGCAUCGAUGAAGAACGUAGCGAAAUGCGAUACUUGGUGUGAAUUGCAGAAUCCCGUGAACCAUCGAGUCUUUGAACGCAAGUUGCGCCCGAGACCAUCCGGUCGAGGGCACGCCUGCCUGGGCGUCACGCCUCGUAUCGCUCCGCACACCUCCUCUUCGGGGAAGGAAGCUGCGGACGCGGAGAUUGGCCUUCCGUUCCUAGCGUGCGGUGGGCUUAAGUGAGGGCCGUCGUCGGGCCUAGCGCGGCGAGUGGUGGACGAUUUAACAAACGGCUCCGUCAACGCGCUACGGUCCAGAUUCGACGCUUCUGGCCCGGAACGAAAGGACCCAUACCGGGAUGCGCUUGCGCUUCUUCGGAUCGCGACCCCA
This 696-nucleotide ribosomal RNA is filed under the name Sisyrinchium hitchcockii. Its description in RNAcentral is "eukaryotic LSU rRNA". The stretch from base 299 to 454 matches the Rfam family "5.8S ribosomal RNA". Lineage: Eukaryota; Viridiplantae; Streptophyta; Magnoliopsida; Asparagales; Iridaceae. The record is from RNAcentral.